This 766-nucleotide ribosomal RNA is filed under the name Arthrobacter sp. RNAcentral's name for it is "bacterial SSU rRNA". It matches the Rfam family "Bacterial small subunit ribosomal RNA", at positions 48 to 822 of the family's 1533-position model. Lineage: Bacteria; Bacillati; Actinomycetota; Actinomycetes; Micrococcales; Micrococcaceae. The record is from RNAcentral.
UUAACACAUGCAAGUCGAACGAUGACUUCUGUGCUUGCACAGAAUGAUUAGUGGCGAACGGGUGAGUAACACGUGAGUAACCUGCCCUUGACUUCGGGAUAAGCCUGGGAAACCGGGUCUAAUACCGGAUACGACCUCCUGGCGCAUGCCAUGGUGGUGGAAAGCUUGAUGCGGUUUUGGAUGGACUCGCGGCCUAUCAGCUUGUUGGUUGGGGUAAUGGCCCACCAAGGCGACGACGGGUAGCCGGCCUGAGAGGGUGACCGGCCACACUGGGACUGAGACACGGCCCAGACUCCUACGGGAGGCAGCAGUGGGGAAUAUUGCACAAUGGGCGGAAGCCUGAUGCAGCGACGCCGCGUGAGGGAUGACGGCCUUCGGGUUGUAAACCUCUUUCAGCAGGGAAGAAGCGAAAGUGACGGUACCUGCAGAAGAAGCGCCGGCUAACUACGUGCCAGCAGCCGCGGUAAUACGUAGGGCGCAAGCGUUAUCCGGAAUUAUUGGGCGUAAAGAGCUCGUAGGCGGUUUGUCGCGUCUGCUGUGAAAGCCCGGGGCUCAACCCCGGGUCUGCAGUGGGUACGGGCAGACUAGAGUGAUGUAGGGGAGACUGGAAUUCCUGGUGUAGCGGUGAAAUGCGCAGAUAUCAGGAGGAACACCGAUGGCGAAGGCAGGUCUCUGGGCAUUAACUGACGCUGAGGAGCGAAAGCAUGGGGAGCGAACAGGAUUAGAUACCCUGGUAGUCCAUGCCGUAAACGUUGGGCACUAGGUG